GAGCUGUACUCCAAUUUCUUUUUCAAUGUAAAUAUCAAACAGGUAGCAUCAGCAAGAAGUUUGUGGAGCAUUUUCAACACGCAACACGUGCUUUUUUCGGGGUCACGCUCUUGAACUUUUUGUAGACAGGGAAAACAACACGUAUCAUUCUUUUAUGCACAGUGAUAGAGAAUUGUGAGAUAAAAAAAGAACCGUCGAAAUUAAUUACUGAUUUCAUAAUUUAGACAAGAACGAUUAUUAUUACUACUUCCGGCCUCGGUGGAGGACAGACGCACCGCGAUUUGUUUCGCCUGGUUGAGCACUCAUUUGGCAGGGGCAGCAAUCACGGUGGCCGAAUUGCUGCAAAGGUUUAAAUAGUACAUGCAAUUUAACCGAUCAUUCCGUUUUAUUCUUCGACAAGGGAAACAACGCAAGUGAUAUAUUUCAAAUUUGGAACUUACUUUUAUAAAAAGGACCCACCACAAUCCCCAGACCCGACCGACACGAUGUGUGAAUACUUACCAGCCUUGUGUGAAAUGAUAGCGGCCGUCAUAUUCGGGAAUACGGAUCCUAUUGAUGAGGAGUAUUACAACUACGAUGACAAUCCAACUACCACCACUAUAACGUCGAACAAUUUAUGAGCUUAGACACACCGUUGCUAUCCCUUCGAAGGAAAUGUAGUUUGUUUAAUAAAAUCAAUAUGGCUUUUGGCUAAAAUCGCGAAAGUACGUUGGAUGUACUACAA
Molecule: long non-coding RNA, 724 nt
Organism: Anopheles gambiae (African malaria mosquito)
Lineage: Eukaryota; Metazoa; Arthropoda; Insecta; Diptera; Culicidae
Exons: 2
Source: RefSeq, a predicted model, not a curated record